CUCGUAUUAAAACUCCCCUUCCGGAACCAGGACCAACCCCCAUUAGAUCUGAAUAUCCUGAUUUGGCGCCACUUCAAACUUCCGGUCAAGCUUCUUCUAGCUUGGCUCGGAGUAUACUAUUCACUAACUUUUCCCAAAAUCAAGUUCCCACAUCCUCAUGCCCUAUUACCUCUCGGCCGGAACCUUUAACUGACGCCCCUCCACGUAGCCCCAUACUAACCCGACAACUGACCGGUACCCAACAAUUAAAACAUUAUCAGAUGCCUCUUCGUCUGAAUCCUGGGUCAG
RNAcentral lists this long non-coding RNA (288 nucleotides) under Pelobates cultripes (western spadefoot toad). The record is from RNAcentral. Lineage: Eukaryota; Metazoa; Chordata; Amphibia; Anura; Pelobatidae.